This 2329-nucleotide long non-coding RNA is filed under the name Marmota monax (woodchuck). The record is from RNAcentral. Lineage: Eukaryota; Metazoa; Chordata; Mammalia; Rodentia; Sciuridae.
GUUCAUAAUCCUUAAAUACAGCUCCUGGGGGGAAGCUCUUUGCCAGACAUGGGAAGCUCCUGACCCUCAUGAAAACUCAGGAUGGGUAGGUUAAAUGUCUGGUCCUUAGAGAGAGUAGCAGAGUGUUGGAAAUAGGGGAAGGUUUCUUGGAAGGUCAAAUUAAAAGGAGAAGGCUGCAUCUCCUGAUCAGAUCACCAGAAUGGGAAGCCAGACACUGGACAUGUGAAUGACAUUGGAGCCCUGCAAAACCAUUCACUUGACUUAUGAAUGUGAGUUAAUCUUACUGAACCUUAAUCCUAGUAUCUAAAUGUGAGAUACAGAUUAAUAUUUUUGAGACAAUUGUUUGAUAGGAAAAUGUCAGAUUGGUAAACUAUAAUCUGACAUAUGAAGAUCAGUUAUUACUGUUACUUAGUAAGCAAAAUAAUUUCUUUUAGGUACACACACACGACACAGAAUAAUCCCCGUUACUUUAUUACUUUAGUAUAUUUCUACUUCCCUACCUCACAUAACUUACUCUGAUAUUAGUGUGAUACAUUCAAUCAGUCUGAUUAGACGUGAAAUGAAUUUGUCUUUGGAGAAGGUAAUUGAAGCAUGAUGUCACUAGGACCCAGGGAACACAUCAUGAGGCCUCCCACCAUAUUCCUUUGGUAAUAGAGUUUGGAACUGACGGGAGGUGGAGGGGAAAAUGGGAGAGUCCAAGUCAUCGCCUUAGUGUUGCAAGAUCCACUUUAAAAGAGAACAUUUACAAAAAAUAGAAAAUAUUGUAUAAUUUCAUUUAUAUGAGGUACCUGGGAUAAUCAAAUUCAUAGAACAGAAAGUAGAAUGGUGGUUGCCAGGAAAUGAAGAAUUAUCAUUGAAUGGGUACAGAGUUUCAGUUUGGGAUGAUGAAAAAUUCAAGAGAUGAAUAAUCAAUGUGGUUGCACCAGAAUAUGAAUAUACUCCAUGCCAAAGAAUUAUAUUCUUAAAAUGGCCAAAAUGAUAAAUUUUAUUUGCACUACAUAUUAUCACAAUUUUUAAAAAGAAAGGUUUACAUCAUAUGAUUUAGCCACUUCAUAUUGCAUUGCUGAUUUGAUUUUUUGUUAAAAAUAUUGAUAAGUACACAGUAUUUAGUGAUAUAUAUCAAGUCCUAUCUUAAGUCACUAAGGAAAGGAAAAUGGUUAUUGAUGAAGAUCUUUUAUUCCAAGUUAUGUUUGAAUUGGCAUGUAGGGGGAAGCAUAUGUAAAAAAAAUGUUUGGAUUUAUCAAAUUGUCCAUAUUUUACUGAAACCUAGAUUUACCACAUCUAAGUACAAUCUGUCCCCUUGAAAGAAGUGGAGACAAUUUCAUCACCUAUAACUGAGUUCCAACUACUAUAAAAUUCAUGGAUGAAAAAGAAAGUCAUUAGUAGGAUGAAUAAAACAAUUUGGGACCUAAGGCAAAAAGAAUACUUAUGCCACACUGCUUAUAGCCAAGAUAAAUACACGCACAAAAAACUAUCAUAAAUCUAGUGAAAAUUUUUGUAUUCGCAGUAAAGAAAAAAGCCAGGGGUGUUUUGGGAUAUAUAAAAUGAUAAUCAACAUGAAGCAAAUUUAAAAACCAAAUGCAAAAGCUUGUAUUAUUAUCACUGGAAAUUAGAAGAUAGAUAAAACAAGGAAGUCAUUCUUCCUGCUAUUCAAAGAGCUAUGACAAUGUAAUUGAUGUCAUUUAUUUCUAAACAAAUAAAUAACUGAACUGUAUCUAAUGAAAUUACAAGUGUGGUGUCCUAAUCGAAAGGAGUGAGGGGAGACAAAGGAAACUAAUUCAGAUAAAGUCAGUUCCUUUACAAGGAGUCACUCAGUAAGUGUUUCUAAAAGCAAACUCAUUCUGGAUCUGGCAAUUAUCACAGUAAAUUUUGUGAAAUACUAUAAAUCUCCAAAUGGCCUUACUAAAGUCAGAGUGUUUUCUCCUGCAAGAUACUGAGUUCAUAAAAAUAUAACUGGUUACUUCAAUGUCAAUGAUUGCCUUAACAUUUUUUUUGUCUUUUUAAUGAACAAUACUUGCUGACAUACCUCUAUUAAUUUAAUCUCCAAAGGAGGCAACAAGUUGGAAGUUGUUUCAUUCAAUCUUCUAACGCUCCUUACCAAAGUCUGAAAGAAGAAAUUGUAUCUCUGAGCUCUUGGAGCUCGCACAGCAUCUUGGAACACCAAGAAUAACUCAGGCAUGUCAAGGCUCACGGGACCUGCAAGCUUUGGAGCAGUCUCCUUGGGAGCACGUUGAUUUCCUGAAAUUCUUCACAGCACACACAUCUCCAUCUUCUAAAUUCUCUUUCCCCUGUUCCCUUUUACCCCUACUCAACAAACAUGGUAGCUUGG